AUACGUGAGAGCCUGCCUCCGCUCGUGGGCGUUGUCACGCAGUUUCAUGCUUGGUGGCACAUCUUCACGGGACUCGGUUCCUACCUUCACAUCCUGUUCAGUUUAUAUUCCCGGACGCUUUACCUGAAAUACAGGCCAAAGGUCAAGAGAAAAACAAAAGUUACGGCAUACAUAGAAUCUGCAGAGUCAAUAUAACAUUGAGAAGAAGAUUUAAGGGCUUCCAGCAUCCAGAAAUCUAUAUUUAUUUUCUUUGAUUGCGUUGAAAGAUUUUAUCACGUUUCAUGCUUGCGUUUGCUAUGCCAACAUUUGCAGAAUAAACAGUGUCUGUUUCCC
This is a non-coding RNA of Notechis scutatus (mainland tiger snake), 333 nucleotides long. Lineage: Eukaryota; Metazoa; Chordata; Lepidosauria; Squamata; Elapidae. The record is from RefSeq and is a predicted model, not a curated record.